UACGUAGGGUGCAAGCGUUGUCCGGAAUUAUUGGGCGUAAAGAGCUCGUAGGCGGUCUGUCGCGUCUGCUGUGAAAACUCAGGGCUUAACCCUGAGCUUGCAGUGGGUACGGGCAGACUAGAGUGCGGUAGGGGAGACUGGAAUUCCUGGUGUAGCGGUGAAAUGCGCUGAUAUCAGGAGGAACACCGGUGGCGAAGGCGGGUCUCUGGGCCGUAACUGACGCUGAGGAGCGAAAGCAUGGGGAGCAAACAGG
This 253-nucleotide ribosomal RNA is filed under the name uncultured bacterium. RNAcentral describes it as "partial 16S ribosomal RNA". It matches the Rfam family "Bacterial small subunit ribosomal RNA", at positions 524 to 776 of the family's 1533-position model. The record is from RNAcentral.